UUCCUACGGGAGGCAGCAGUGAGGAAUAUUAGACAAUGGGCGCAAGCCUGAUCUAGCCAUGCCGCGUGAGUGAAGAAGGCCUUCGGGUUGUAAAGCUCUUUCAGAUGUGAGGAUAAUGACAGUAGCAUCAGAAGAAGCCACGGCUAAUUCCGUGCCAGCAGCCGCGGUAAUACGGGAGUGGCAAGCGUUAUCCGGAAUUAUUGGGCGUAAAGCGUCCGCAGGCGGCUUUUCAAGUCUGCUGUUAAAACGUGGAGCUUAACUCCAUCAUGGCAGUGGAAACUGAAAGGCUUGAGUAUGGUAGGGGCAGAGGGAAUUCCCGGUGUAGCGGUGAAAUGCGUAGAUAUCGGGAAGAACACCAGUGGCGAAGGCGCUCUGCUGGGCCAUUACUGACGCUCAUGGACGAAAGCCAGGGGAGCGAAAGGGAUUAGAUACCCCUGUAGUCCUGGCCGUAAACGAUGAGAGCUAGUCGUCGGAAGGCAUGCUUUUCGGUGACGCAGUUAACGCGUUAAGCUCUCCGCCUGGGGAGUACGAUCGCAAGAUUAAAACUCAAAGGAAUUGACGGAAU
RNAcentral lists this ribosomal RNA (565 nucleotides) under uncultured bacterium. RNAcentral's name for it is "bacterial SSU rRNA". It matches the Rfam family "Bacterial small subunit ribosomal RNA", at positions 336 to 919 of the family's 1533-position model. The record is from RNAcentral.